This 1164-nucleotide unclassified non-coding RNA is filed under the name Leishmania donovani. RNAcentral describes it as "gene:LdHU3.30.0960(CDS-product:hypothetical_prote in_conserved)". The record is from RNAcentral. Lineage: Eukaryota; Euglenozoa; Kinetoplastea; Trypanosomatida; Trypanosomatidae.
CUAUCGCCAAAAUCGCUGACAACAUGCGGCGACUCAUCACGUCGCCUUGCUUUCGACUUUUACGCCACGUCGUUGUAGGGCCAUCUACUACGAUACCAAGCGCACGCUCAACGCCUCGGUUUGGCAGGAGGCGUCAACGCCUUCAGAGAAACCCGUCUCCGCCGACUUUUGAUGUGGCGAACGAUGAGGAUGCGAAGAGUAUUUGUUUUGAACGCUAUGGUUUUGUUCAAAAGCCGCUGUUCUUGAAAACUUGGCAAGAGUUUCUCCGUGAAUUGCAGCGCGUGGAGCUCACAUGGAGCUUGAUGCCGAGCGCUGGAGGCAUCCUUCAGCUAAAGAUUCAUGACCACCUUGAGCCCGGCGACGGGCUUCUCUGUGAACUGAAGGGCGCGGCGAAUCGGUCGGCGCCACUGGCAGAGUUUUUCGAAGCUUGUGGCUCCGUGUCUCAGGGCACCAUGUCGAAAGCCGAAGUAGAAUUCUUCGAUGGGGAGAGUUGCUCUGUAUUGCUGAUCGAGAGUAAAAAACGUCUAGGUGAGAUUCCAUUCAAAGAUGACCCUCCUAUUUUGCCUCUUUUGUGCCAGUUCAACUGCCGUGGAACUUCAGUGUCUCUCUCUGUACUGGACAAAAAAACACUCGUUCGAACACCCCUGUUCUCCGACAUUUCCAUUCAAACGCUGAACUACGCAUUUAUGACAUCUCUACCAUUGUUUUUGAAGCGGACAGACUUAGGCAUCCGCAACGCUGAUUUCGUGACUAAAGACCAGAUGCGUCAUUUUCGCUACGCGUGGUGCUUUCUUCGAAAAGAGUCGUGGAUGACACCAGUGGAGAUGGGGGAAUUAGAUGCACUACUCCCUCCCUAGUAUUCACAAGUCUUUUUCCCCCACAAACAGUGCCACAGUGAGCAAAGCUCAAGCAAGGAAGCACAGAAAAGAAAAGGGAAAGCAUCGAUGUCCUUUAGCAAUGGAAACGGCAGCCUUUUAGGUGGGGAGAAUGAUGUCGGCCACGGCAUAUUAUUCUUCGCGAAUCAUGUUCUGUUUUGGUCGGCGGAAUGCUGAGACUCAAGGCGCAAAGAGGGCGCAUAGGAUGCGCCAGAAAAAGAUUUCACGAAAGCCCUUUUUUUCUUGCACAACUCUUUCAUCUUCCUGCUGUUCUCCUCGUUGCAUAAAG